Molecule: ribosomal RNA, 440 nt
Filed under: uncultured bacterium
Lineage: Bacteria
Description: partial 16S ribosomal RNA
Rfam family: Bacterial small subunit ribosomal RNA
Source: RNAcentral
CCUACGGGAGGCAGCAGUGGGGAAUAUUGCACAAUGGGGGAAACCCUGAUGCAGCAACGCCGCGUGAGUGAAGAAGUAUUUCGGUAUGUAAAGCUCUAUCAGCAGGGAAGAGAAUGACGGUACCUGACUAAGAAGCCCCGGCUAACUACGUGCCAGCAGCCGCGGUAAUACGUAGGGGGCGAGCGUUAUCCGGAUUCACUGGGUGUAAAGGGAGCGUAGACGGCCAUGCAAGCCAGGGGUGAAAGCCCGGGGCCCAACCCCGGGACUGCCCUUGGAACUGCAUGGCUGGAAUGCGGGAGGGGCAGGCGGAAUUCCUGGUGUAGCGGUGAAAUGCGUAGAUAUCAGGAGGAACACCGGCGGCGAAGGCGGCCUGCUGGACCGCGACUGACGUUGAGGCUCGAAAGCGUGGGGAGCGAACAGGAUUAGAUACCCCUGUAGUC